This 266-nucleotide small nucleolar RNA is filed under the name Torulaspora delbrueckii CBS 1146. RNAcentral's name for it is "Small nucleolar RNA snR191". It matches the Rfam family "Small nucleolar RNA snR191". Lineage: Eukaryota; Fungi; Ascomycota; Saccharomycetes; Saccharomycetales; Saccharomycetaceae. The record is from Rfam by way of RNAcentral.
CACCAAAACUCUUUGUCAGGGUGCUCUCCGCCGCGAAUCAAAUGAGUUUGCAAACUACGAGAGUGUCUGUUAAAGUUUUGGAAGAUCGAUAUUGUCUACCUUAUCCAUCAUCUUCCGUUCUGGAAGAAUUAGGAUAAUAGAAGGACAACCUCCGUUUUGGAGGUAUACCUUCGCACCUAGACAACGAGGACCUUCCAGAGUUGAGCUUUGUUAGUGAAGAUUAUUCACAUACCAUACAUUUGCUCGUAGUAAAGGACUUCACAUUC